GAUGAACGCUGGCGGCGUGCUUAACACAUGCAAGUCGAACGAUGAAGCCCAGCUUGCUGGGUGGAUUAGUGGCGAACGGGUGAGUAACACGUGAGUAACCCGCCCUUAACUCUGGGAUAAGCCUGGGAAACUGGGUCUAAUACCGGAUAGGAGCGUCCACCGCAUGGUGGGUGUUGGAAAGAUUUAUCGGUUUUGGAUGGACUCGCGGCCUAUCAGCUUGUUGGUGAGGUAAUGGCUCACCAAGGCGACGACGGGUAGCCGGCCUGAGAGGGUGACCGGCCACACUGGGACUGAGACACGGCCCAGACUCCUACGGGAGGCAGCAGUGGGGAAUAUUGCACAAUGGGCGCAAGCCUGAUGCAGCGACGCCGCGUGAGGGAUGACGGCCUUUGGGUUGUAAACCUCUUUCAGUAGGGAAGAAGCGAAAGUGACGGUACCUGCAGAAGAAGCACCGGCUAACUACGUG
This 466-nucleotide ribosomal RNA is filed under the name uncultured bacterium. RNAcentral's name for it is "partial 16S ribosomal RNA". It matches the Rfam family "Bacterial small subunit ribosomal RNA", at positions 28 to 507 of the family's 1533-position model. The record is from RNAcentral.